This 442-nucleotide ribosomal RNA is filed under the name uncultured bacterium. RNAcentral's name for it is "bacterial SSU rRNA". It matches the Rfam family "Bacterial small subunit ribosomal RNA", at positions 339 to 796 of the family's 1533-position model. The record is from RNAcentral.
CUACGGGAGGCAGCAGUUUGGAAUAUUGCCCAAUGGGGGAAACCCUGAGGCAGCGACGCCGCGUGGAGGAUGAAGGAUUUAGGUCUGUAAACUCCUUUUAUCAGGAAAGACUUAGGACGGUACCUGAUGAAUAAGCUCCGGCUAACUACGUGCCAGCAGCCGCGGUAAUACGUAGGGAGCAAGCGUUGUCCGGAUUUACUGGGCGUAAAGGGCGCGUAGGCGGUUUGUUAAGUGUGAAGUGAAAUCUCCAGGGCUCAACCCGGAAACUGCUUCGCAUACUGGCAGACUAGAGGAAUGCAGAGGUGAUUGGAAUUCCCGGUGUAACGGUGACAUGCAUUGAUAUCGGGAGGAACACCCGCGGCGAAGGCGGAUCACUGGGCAUUAUCUGACGCUGAGGCGCGAAAGCGUGGGUAGCAAACAGGAUUAGAUACCCCAGUAGUCC